GGGGAAAUAGCUCAGUUGGUAGAGCAUCAGACUUAAAUACAUAUAUAUCUUUAUUUAUUUAUUUUCCCCU
RNAcentral lists this transfer RNA (70 nucleotides) under Erinaceus europaeus (western European hedgehog). It matches the Rfam family "tRNA". From Rfam's summary of the family: Transfer RNA (tRNA) molecules are approximately 80 nucleotides in length. The record is from Rfam by way of RNAcentral. Lineage: Eukaryota; Metazoa; Chordata; Mammalia; Eulipotyphla; Erinaceidae.